RNAcentral lists this ribosomal RNA (80 nucleotides) under Megasphaera sp. ASD88. Its description in RNAcentral is "partial 23S ribosomal RNA". The record is from RNAcentral. Lineage: Bacteria; Bacillati; Bacillota; Negativicutes; Veillonellales; Veillonellaceae.
GACAUAAAGUCAAGCAAGUAAGGGCGUACGGCGGAUGCCUUGGCCAUAUCAGCCGAUGAAGGACGCGAUAAGCUGCGAAA